UAAGGAAUAUUGGUCGAUGGACGCAAGUCUGAACCAGCCAUGCCGCGUGAAGGAUUAAGGCCCUCUGGGUUGUAAACUUCUUUUAUAGGGGAAGAAAUGUGACGGUUCUCCGUCACUUGACGGUACCCUGGGAAUAAGCACCGGCUAACUCCGUGCCAGCAGCCGCGGUAAUACGGAGGGUGCAAGCGUUAUCCGGAUUCACUGGGGUUAAAGGGUGCUUAGGUGGGCAGAUAAGUCAGUGGUGAAAUCUUCCGGCUUAACCGGGAAACUGCCGUUGAUACUAUUUGUCGUGAAUAUUGCGGAGGUAAGCGGAAUAUGUCAUGUAGCGG
Molecule: ribosomal RNA, 329 nt
Filed under: uncultured bacterium
Lineage: Bacteria
Description: bacterial SSU rRNA
Rfam family: Bacterial small subunit ribosomal RNA
Source: RNAcentral